GAUCAUUACUGAGUUUACGCUCUAUAACCCUUUGUGAACAUACCUAUAACUGUUGCUUCGGCGGGUAGGGUCUCCGCGACCCUCCCGGCCUCCCGCCCCCGGGCGGGUCGGCGCCCGCCGGAGGAUAACCAAACUCUGAUUUAACGACGUUUCUUCUGAGUGGUACAAGCAAAUAAUCAAAACUUUUAACAACGGAUCUCUUGGUUCUGGCAUCGAUGAAGAACGCAGCGAAAUGCGAUAAGUAAUGUGAAUUGCAGAAUUCAGUGAAUCAUCGAAUCUUUGAACGCACAUUGCGCCCGCCAGCAUUCUGGCGGGCAUGCCUGUUCGAGCGUCAUUUCAACCCUCAAGCUCUGCUUGGUGUUGGGGCCCUACAGCUGAUGUAGGCCCUCAAAGGUAGUGGCGGACCCUCCCGGAGCCUCCUUUGCGUAGUAACUUUACGUCUCGCACUGGGAUCCGGAGGGACUCUUGCCGUAAAACCCCCAAUUUUCCAAAGGUUGACCUCGGAUCAGGUAGGAAUACCCGCUGAACUUAAGCAUAUCAAUAAGCGGAGGAAAAGAAACCAACAGGGAUUGCCUCAGUAACGGCGAGUGAAGCGGCAACAGCUCAAAUUUGAAAUCUGGCCCUAGGCCCGAGUUGUAAUUUGCAGAGGAUGCUUUUGGUGCGGUGCCUUCCAAGUUCCCUAGAACGGGACGCCAGAGAGGGUGAGAGCCCCGUACAGUUGGACACCAAGCCUUUGUAAAGCUCCUUCGACGAGUCGAGUAGUUUGGGAAUGCUGCUCAAAAUGGGAGGUAUAUUUCUUCUAAAGCUAAAUACCGGCCAGAGACCGAUAGCGCACAAGUAGAGUGAUCGAAAGAUGAAAAGCACUUUGAAAAGAGGGUUAAACAGCACGUGAAAUUGUUAAAAGGGAAGCGCUUGUGACCAGACUUGCGUCCGGUGAAUCACCCAGCUCUCGCGGCUGGGGCACUUCGCCGGCUCAGGCCAGCAUCAGCUCGCUGUCGGGGACAAAAGCUUCAGGAACGUAGCUCUCUGCGGGGAGUGUUAUAGCCUGUUGCAUAAUACCCUUCGGCGGGCUGA
This 1074-nucleotide unclassified non-coding RNA is filed under the name leaf metagenome. Its description in RNAcentral is "partial contains internal transcribed spacer 1, 5.8S ribosomal RNA, internal transcribed spacer 2, and large subunit ribosomal RNA". The stretch from base 496 to 1074 matches the Rfam family "Eukaryotic large subunit ribosomal RNA", at positions 1 to 591 of the family's 3401-position model. The record is from RNAcentral.